AGCGGCAUACAAGGUCAGUAAUCUUGUUAGUUAAUAUAACGUGAUUUAAUUGCUAUUUAAUUAAAAACAUAUGGACCUAUAAGAUGAAGUUUACAUUAUGUUUUAAAGCAGAACAGAACGUCACACCUGAAUACAAUAAUGAUGUCAUCACUGAUGGACUAACAGCAGAUCAUCAGACAGUGGACGUGUCAGAGAAUUAUGAUGAUGUCAUCAUUAUUAGACAGAACAUUCAAGAUAUAAAUGACUAUGAGGAUAUAAUAGAGGAGACAAAUACAGAGGGAGGGUCUGUUUGACUCAAUGACCACAGCCAACGCCCAUUUUCAUCAAAAUCUUAUCAAGUGUCUGACAUUUAAGUGAUUUGAUAUUGCUACUAAAUCUUCAGUGCCUUGUUUUUACUGCCAUAUCAAAUGUUUUACCAAGAAUAACUUUAGUAUAUCGGCUUAUAAUGCAUUUUAUUCAGUGUAUCAUCUUAUAAUACAUUUUAAUCUUGAUUAUAUUGGCUUAUAAAACAUUUACAUUUUUGUGUAUCGGCUCAUUUUUGUGCUCUUUGAUCUAAUAAACAAACCAAAGAUUAAAUAUUUCAUUUUUGGUUUUAUUUACAAAUAUUAAUAAAUAAAGUGCUCUGCAACAACUGUACAACCAUCAAAUGUCAG
Long non-coding RNA from Paramisgurnus dabryanus, 653 nucleotides. RefSeq lists it as uncharacterized. NCBI's taxonomy places the organism in Eukaryota, Metazoa, Chordata, Actinopteri, Cypriniformes, Cobitidae. The record is from RefSeq and is a predicted model, not a curated record.